RNAcentral lists this ribosomal RNA (253 nucleotides) under uncultured bacterium. RNAcentral's name for it is "partial 16S ribosomal RNA". It matches the Rfam family "Bacterial small subunit ribosomal RNA", at positions 524 to 776 of the family's 1533-position model. The record is from RNAcentral.
UACGUAGGGGGCAAGCGUUGUCCGGAUUUAUUGGGCGUAAAGAGCGUGUAGGCGGUUCGGUAGGUCCGUUGUGAAAACUCGAGGCUCAACCUCGAGACGCCGAUGGAAACCCCCGAACUAGAGUCCGGAAGAGGAGAGUGGAAUUCCGAGUGUAGAGGUGAAAUUCGUAGAUAUUCGGAGGAACACCAGUGGCGAAGGCGGCUCACUGGUCCGGUACUGACGCUGAGGUGCGAAAGCGUGGGGAGCAAACAGG